RNAcentral lists this long non-coding RNA (1238 nucleotides) under Canis lupus familiaris (dog). RNAcentral describes it as "lncRNA (ENSCAFG00000054568.1)". The record is from RNAcentral. Lineage: Eukaryota; Metazoa; Chordata; Mammalia; Carnivora; Canidae.
CGCCAACAAAGCCAGGCUUCCAUCUAGAACCUGAAGCUUACAGAUUGCGCAGAGACGUUUAUGAUGAUUCCAUCCACGGCCACCGUCAAGGUUUGGGUGUGGGACCACAAGGGUUCAGAACCAAGCAGGGCCCCCUGAGAAAGGAGGGUAUCCCAGAGCCCUGCAGGGAAGGGCGGCGGUUUGUUCUGAGACCAGCCCCAGUGAUAGCUCCGUGCAAGCUCUCCCUGACUCUAGUAAACCAACUCCGUCAUGUUCCUGGAACAGCUUUUAAGGAACCAAAGUAACAGACUGAGGAAGGGAUGAGUAAAUCAGUGAUGAUUCUUCCACUAGAAUUUUUUUCCCCUGGCAUAAAUGGUUCCAUAGUCCAUCUGGAAAAGAUGACCAUAAGGGGAAGAGUUGACCGGCAGGGGAGUCGAAAGCUCCAUAGCAGUACCCAGCUCUGACCAUUUGCCGAGCCUCUCCAAGCCUCAGAGCUCUUAUCUAACACAGGGAUGAUAAUAAAAUUGAGACUACAAGGAGGAAAAGUAACUUGUUCAACGUCACACGACAGUAACACCAGAGCUGGGCCAUAGGCCGAAGCAGCACAUCUUCAGAGCUGGCCAGUUCACAAGGUUGAUGUCAUGUCUAGGAGAUAACGGGUGUAAGCAAGCUUUGAAAAGGACAAGUUGGACACAUUGGUGAGUGGAGGUAAAACCUAAGAUUAUAAGCCUGUGUGUGUGUGUGUGUGUAAGGAUUGUGAAAAUCAAAGCUUGAUCGGGACAUCUCAAAUGUCUGAGUAUGUCCUUCUUAAUCUACUAUCUGCCUUUGAAUUUACAUAGCUGAGGAUGUAUGCUGGCAGACUGACCAUCCGCUCCCUCCCACCCGCUUUAGGGAAACCAGUGUGGUAACACUGACUAAUGGACCAAAGUCACUAUGCCAUGUUUAGAAUCUUAUCUCAUAGGCUCCUUUAAAAAAAAAGAAAAUGAAAAUAAGACAGGUCAUUGCAGACAGUGGGGUGGAGUUCCUGGCAAGUGCAAUAAUGAAUCACACAUAGUUGUGACUGGAUAAUGAGAGCCACCCCAUAAAACUUCGACUCAGCAUGUGUUUCGUCUCACUGGCCAGAAGCCAGGAGAGCCAGUGUUAAUAACGUGCUUUUACUAUCACUCAUGUGCUUCUCGUGUCUCGGUGCAGAAUUUGGCCAUUGAUGAAGUCAGCAGUCGUACGUGCAACUCAAUCCGUGUACCUUUCAGAAAAUGUCC